UUUAUGGCUCAAACAAUCACCUAAAGCUUGGUUUGAGAGGUUCACAAGGUUUGUUAAAAGUCAAGAUCAUACACAAGGUUUGUUAAAAGUCAAGGUCAUACACAAGGAAAAUCAUAUCACACCCUCUUCACACGAAAAUCUAUAUAAUGCAAAACUGUUAUCUUAAUAGUCUAUAUGGAUGACAUAAUUUUAAUUGGGGAUGAUUUGGACAAGAUUAUGA
This 220-nucleotide long non-coding RNA is filed under the name Carica papaya (papaya). RNAcentral's name for it is "long non-coding RNA (CPAP_LNC013396)". The record is from RNAcentral. Lineage: Eukaryota; Viridiplantae; Streptophyta; Magnoliopsida; Brassicales; Caricaceae.